CCCUUAGAUGUCCUGGGCCGCACGCGCGCUACACUGACAUGUUCAACAAGCCUCCUAGUUCGACAGGAUUUGGGAAAUCUUUGAACGCAUGUCGUGAUAGGGAUAGAUCAUUGCAAUUAUUGAUCUUGAACGAGGAAUUCCUAGUAAACGCGAGUCAUCAGCUCGCAUUGAUUACGUCCCUGCCCUUUGUACACACCGCCCGUCGCACCUACCGAUUGAAUGUUUCGGUGAAGAUUCCGGAUAGGACUUUUUUGAUUUAUUUCAAUUUUGUCUUAAAAGCUAUCUAAACCUCAACAUGUAGAGGAAGGUGAAGUCGUAACA
RNAcentral lists this ribosomal RNA (321 nucleotides) under uncultured eukaryote. RNAcentral describes it as "partial 18S ribosomal RNA". It matches the Rfam family "Eukaryotic small subunit ribosomal RNA", at positions 1470 to 1796 of the family's 1831-position model. The record is from RNAcentral.